CUUCAGUCUGUUGCGAGCACUGUCUCUUUCCAUUUUCACUUUCACAUUUUGCCUCAGAUUAGUAUCAUUGGAGUGGCUGCUGUUAAAACUUGUGCUUUGAAUGAAGAGAUCCUCCAAACAGGCUUUGUGUGAGCAACAUGGCUGUUUUUCACCUGGGUGCAGACACUGCAGGAGCCAGAAGGAUGACCGAGUCAGA
This 196-nucleotide long non-coding RNA is filed under the name Callithrix jacchus (white-tufted-ear marmoset). RNAcentral describes it as "lncRNA (ENSCJAG00000072649.1)". The record is from RNAcentral. Lineage: Eukaryota; Metazoa; Chordata; Mammalia; Primates; Cebidae.